AGAAGAUACUCAGAUAAAGGAAGUAGAUACAUCUAUUGAUGGUAAUGAUGCUGAUGAUGAUACUGAAGAUGAUGCAGAAGAAGAUGAUGAUGAUAAUGAUUUGGAUAAUACCAAUUCUAGAGAAAAUCCAGCUUACGAACAGCAGACAGAAUCAUUACCAAGGAGAUCUCAGAGAGCAAAGAAAACAACAUCAUGGAUUACAAGUGGCGAUUAUAUAGUAAAUCAACAGGUAUUAACAAAACAACCAGAUUGGAAGAUAAGAGCAGACUACCUUCAGACAUUAGUCUCUAGUGAUGUUUUUCACUCUGAAAAUAGCAAAGAACUAAUAGAAAAGACUCUACUACAGAUCAUUUCUGGUAGACAUUAGUAUUUACAAUUUUAACGACAUCAGUAUUAACCAGUCAGUUCAAUCAGCUAAAUUAGUGAUAAAGUCUAUAGAAUUACGAAGAGAGAUAUAGUGCGUUUUUAUAGUUUUUAAGAUAUUUUAUUUUCAGUUUUCUUGCAGUCAUGAAGGUUUAAAAGUAAUUCAAAUUACUCGUAGAUAUUUGUUUUGAUAAGUAAUAAAUGACGAGGACGUCAUUUCACAAAGAGGGGAAGCAUGUGAUAGGGUGAUAUUUCAUAUUAAUUAAGUAAUAAUUUCAUUAUCAUGAAAUUAUUAAUUAAUAGUUCUAUAAAUUAUAAGUUUACAGUAUUUACUAUAAAAGUUGUCAAUAUAAACAACUUUAUGUACAACCUAACAGUAUGUAAAUAGCUACAUAGUUAUUUAUAUAGUAUGACAUCACAAUGGUCAUUAUGGUCAGUGUAAACCUGUUUUAGUUAAUUAUAUAUCACAUGGUCAAUUCUAUUUUUGAAUUCUCAAUUUCAUUGGUCCUUUAAAUUCCCUCUCUUUGCUUUGUCCUUUUUGAUCUGAUCUUCAUACUGACCAGAUGUGUUUAGCUUAAGACCAAGAAGAAAUCUAUAGACUGUAAGUAAUUGUUUUAUAUUUUAUGCUAUUUAUAUUAAUGCUUAUUUAUAAAGCAUAUUGUAUUUGCUAGAUAAGUAUAUGCUAUAUAGUGAAAUGUAAAUCUAUUUAAAUGUAAAUUAUCAUGAGUGAAAACUUAGUAUUUGAGCAACACUCAUUAUAGUUAUUUUAACAAUCUUAAGCUAGAUAACCUAAAUGUAGUUUUAAGAGUAUUGUUAUAUGUAUUAGAUUCCAUACCUGAAGAAUAUAUCAGGAUCAUGCAGAUGCAGAUCAAUUAGGCUUUGUGUCACACAUAGAGCUUAUGAUAUAAUAUAAUAUAAAGUAAUAAUCAAGAACCCUA
Long non-coding RNA from Magallana angulata, 1301 nucleotides. RefSeq lists it as uncharacterized. NCBI's taxonomy places the organism in Eukaryota, Metazoa, Mollusca, Bivalvia, Ostreida, Ostreidae. The record is from RefSeq and is a predicted model, not a curated record. The transcript has 2 exons.